GAUGAACGCUAGCGGCAGGCUUAACACAUGCAAGUCGAGGGGUAUUGGUUUUCGGACCAAGAGACCGGCGCACGGGUGCGUAACGCGUAUGCAAUCUACCUUUUGCAGAGGGAUAGCCCCAGAGAAAUUUGGAUUAAUACCUCAUAGUAUAGUACUUUGGCAUCAAGGAACUAUUAAAGUCACAACGGCAAAAGAUGAGCAUGCGUCCCAUUAGCUAGUUGGUAAGGUAACGGCUUACCAAGGCUACGAUGGGUAGGGGUCCUGAGAGGGAGAUCCCCCACACUGGUACUGAGACACGGACCAGACUCCUACGGGAGGCAGCAGUGAGGAAUAUUGGACAAUGGGCGCAAGCCUGAUCCAGCCAUGCCGCGUGCAGGAUGACGGUCCUAUGGAUUGUAAACUGCUUUUGUACAGGAAGAAACACUACUUCGUGAAGUAGCUUGACGGUACUGUAAGAAUAAAGGAUCGGCUAAACUCGUGCCAGCAGCCG
RNAcentral lists this ribosomal RNA (490 nucleotides) under uncultured bacterium. RNAcentral's name for it is "bacterial SSU rRNA". It matches the Rfam family "Bacterial small subunit ribosomal RNA", at positions 28 to 517 of the family's 1533-position model. The record is from RNAcentral.